AUGCCCUCACCUCCAUCCUCAGAAAGGCAACCGAAGAAGGAGUCCUCAGCUCGUUCAGAGGCGUCUCAGCUACUCAGCGUCUCUCUCUCUCUCUCUCUCUCUCUCUAUGCUGACGACCUUGCACUUUUCUUGAGGCCGACCACACAAGACCUGACGUUCGUCAAGGAUACCUUCGACAUCUUCGGCAAAGCUUCUGGCCUCAAAAUCAACUACGGCAAGUCCAACGCGAUUCUAAUCAGGCACAAUGAGACUGAUCAUCAAAGAGUGGAGGCGAUCCUGCAUUGUAGAUUGGGAAGCUUCCCAUGUCGUUACCUUGGACUCCAACUUGCUAUCAACCAGCUAACUAGGGCGGAUUGGCAGCCGCUCCUUGAUCAAGUGAGGAAGUUCAUCCCUGCCUGGCAACGAGGAUUCAUUCAGCGGCCCGAGAGAUUGAUCCUUGUCAAAACUAUGAUUGCAGCACGGCCAGUCCAUCAGCUCCUAGUGCUUGACCCCCCAGCUUGGGUCCUUGAGGAGAUUAAUAGGUGGAUGCGCUCCUUCUUUUGGGCUGGCAAAGAUAAGAGCCAUGGCGGCCAAUGCCUUGUCGCGUGGGAUACGGUAUGUAAACCAACAACUUUUGGAGGCUUGGGUGUGAAGAACCUAGAGUUGCAAGCGUUGGCACUUCGUGUGCGAUGGGAAUGGUUGAGAAGAACGGACCCGAGCAGGCCAUGGCAAGGGUUGCACUUGAUUGUUGCCGACAAAGCGCGUGAGGUAUUCAAUAGUUUCGUCAAAAUCAAGGUGGGGGAGGGAUCAAACGUCCUCUUUUGGAAGGACCGCUGGAUCCAUGGAGCGGCAACCGUUGACAUCGCCCCUUUACUUCAUGAGAUGGUCAGUACGAGGAACAAGAACAGAAGAACAGUGAAAGAUGCACUCACUGAUAAUGCAUGGACACACGAUGUGCAAGGAGAGCUCUCUUUCUUGGGCCACAUGCAAGUUUAUUCGCUAUGCCAAGCCAUCAACUCCGUGGAGAGGAAUGUGGCGGAGCCCGACCAAUUCAUUUGGCCUUGUCACGCGUCCGGAAGAUACAAUGCAAGCGCCACAUACAAGUGGUUUUGCAUGGGACAGGUCAAAAUCCCCACCGUGGAGUGCAUUUGGAGAAGCUGGGCGCCGCUCGAAUGCAAAAUCUUCAUGCGGCUAGCUUGCCAAUACCGCCUUUGGACUUCCGACCGUCGGGCUCGACACGGUCUCCAGGAUACACCAUCGGCCUGCUAUACGUGUCUUCAAGAUGAGGGUAACCCCGAUCACAUCCUUGCACAGUGUGGUUACGCGCGGGAGGUGUGGUACUCAUGCUUCAACGAGUGGAGGAUCAACACUCAAAUCCCAGCCUCAGAUGCCACUUUCUUGCAAUGGUGGCUUGAACAGAGGAGGCACUUCAAUGGCAAGUUGAGAAGAGGAUUUGACUCCAUCACGAUCCUAAUUGCCUGGGCACUAUGGAAGCAACGAAAUGCACGAGUAUUCAACAAUGUUUCAAGACAAAGAUCGGCGGCUCAACUUAAGGAAGAGAUCCUUGAUGAGAUUGAUGACUGGAGGAAGGCCGAGCUUGGUGGAGUUGGUGCUUUAGACCCUUUCGCGAGAGAGUAG
This 1617-nucleotide ribosomal RNA is filed under the name Triticum aestivum (bread wheat). Its description in RNAcentral is "partial small subunit ribosomal RNA". Lineage: Eukaryota; Viridiplantae; Streptophyta; Magnoliopsida; Poales; Poaceae. The record is from RNAcentral.